CGUAGUGACGCGGAGGGACAUUA
This 23-nucleotide ribosomal RNA is filed under the name Rosellinia mearnsii. RNAcentral's name for it is "partial 18S ribosomal RNA". Lineage: Eukaryota; Fungi; Ascomycota; Sordariomycetes; Xylariales; Xylariaceae. The record is from RNAcentral.